RNAcentral lists this ribosomal RNA (253 nucleotides) under uncultured bacterium. Its description in RNAcentral is "partial 16S ribosomal RNA". It matches the Rfam family "Bacterial small subunit ribosomal RNA", at positions 524 to 776 of the family's 1533-position model. The record is from RNAcentral.
UACGUAGGGUGCAAGCGUUGUCCGGAAUUAUUGGGCGUAAAGAGCUCGUAGGUGGCCUGUCGCGUCGGCUGUGAAAACUCGGGGCUCAACUCCGAGCUUGCAGUCGAUACGGGCAGGCUAGAGUUCGGCAGGGGAGACUGGAAUUCCUGGUGUAGCGGUGAAAUGCGCAGAUAUCAGGAGGAACACCGGUGGCGAAGGCGGGUCUCUGGGCCGAGACUGACGCUGAGGAGCGAAAGCGUGGGGAGCGAACAGG